GGGCCGUUAGCUCAAUUAGGCAGAGCACCUGACUCUUAAUCAGUAGGUUGAAGGUUCGAUUCCUUCACGGCCCACCA
RNAcentral lists this transfer RNA (77 nucleotides) under Deltaproteobacteria bacterium. RNAcentral describes it as "tRNA-Lys". It matches the Rfam family "tRNA". From Rfam's summary of the family: Transfer RNA (tRNA) molecules are approximately 80 nucleotides in length. Their secondary structure includes four short double-helical elements and three loops (D, anti-codon, and T loops). Further hydrogen bonds mediate the characteristic L-shaped molecular structure. tRNAs have two regions of fundamental functional importance: the anti-codon, which is responsible for specific mRNA codon recognition, and the 3' end, to which the tRNAs corresponding amino acid is attached (by aminoacyl-tRNA synthetases). tRNAs cope with the degeneracy of the genetic code in two manners: having more than one tRNA (with a specific anti-codon) for a particular amino acid; and 'wobble' base-pairing, i.e. permitting non-standard base-pairing at the 3rd anti-codon position. The record is from RNAcentral. Lineage: Bacteria; Pseudomonadati; Myxococcota; Myxococcia. RNAcentral also lists the same sequence under 3 other names.